This is a long non-coding RNA of Aethalodelphis obliquidens (Pacific white-sided dolphin), 722 nucleotides long. RefSeq lists it as uncharacterized. Lineage: Eukaryota; Metazoa; Chordata; Mammalia; Artiodactyla; Delphinidae. The record is from RefSeq and is a predicted model, not a curated record. The transcript is spliced from 3 exons.
AUGGGUAUGGUUUAGGGUACAGGUUAGGGUAUGCAACAGUUUAGGGUUAGCGUACAUGUUAGGGUACGGGUUAGUGUUAGUGUCUGGGUUAGGAUGAGAGUACAUGUUUGGGUAAGGCUUCGGGUAAGGGUUAGGGUUAGGGAACGAGUACAUUUUAGGGUACACGUUAGUGUACGACAACGAGUUAGGGUUAAUGUACGUGUUAGCGUAAGGGUUAGUAUUAGUGUAUGGGUUAGCAUUAGGGUACCGUUUAGGGUACAGGUUAGUGUACAACAAUGGGUUAGAUUUAGGGUACGUGUUAGGGUACGGGUUAUUGUUAGUGUACAGUUUAGGAUUAUUGUAUGGGUUUGGUAAGGCUUAGGGUAAGGGUUAGUGUUACAGUUAGGGUUAGGUAUAGGUUAGGGAUCGGGUACAGUUUAUGGUAUAUUUUAGGGUAUGACAACGCUUUAGGGUUAGGGUAUGUGUUAGGGUAUGGUUUAGUGUUAGCAUACAGGUUAGGAUUAGGGUACGGUUUAGUGUAAGGCUUAGGGUAAGUGUUAGGGUUAGAGUUAGGGUUAUAGUUAGGGAACGGUUUAGCAUACAUUUUAGGGUACGACAAUGGUUUAGGGUUAGGGUACGUGUUAGGGUAUGGGUUAGUGUUAAUGUAUGGUUUAGGAUUAGGUUACGGGUUACGGUAAGGCUUAGGGUAAGGGUACGAUUUAGGGUACAGGUUAGGGUACGAC